CUGGUGGCAAGGUCUCUUUGUUCAAUAUGAUGACGUUUAAGAUGACAAAUCCAAUCCCUUGAAUUUUGGUCAGGCCAUGACUACUUUCAUGCCUCCACCUCCAGCAGCUACCUACUUGGCAUUCCAUCCUCGGGACAACAAUAUUAUUGCCAUAGGAAUGGAAGAUUCCACCAUACAAAUAUACAAUGUGGGAGUUGAUGAGGUUAAAACCAAGCUUAAGGGGCACCAUAAACAAAUCACUGGGCUUGCUUUCUCCUAGAACUUGAAUGUAUUGGUAUCAUCUGGAGCUGAUGCACAGGCAGCUAUGUAUCUGGAACAUUGAUGGUUUGCAGAAGAAGAAAAUGAAAGCUAUGCAAGCACCACCAGGUCAUACAUCACCCGUAAUUGGAGAAA
Coffea eugenioides is the source of this 393-nucleotide long non-coding RNA. RefSeq lists it as uncharacterized. The record is from RefSeq and is a predicted model, not a curated record. The transcript has 4 exons. Lineage: Eukaryota; Viridiplantae; Streptophyta; Magnoliopsida; Gentianales; Rubiaceae.